UAGGGAAUCUUCCACAAUGGGCGAAAGCUUGAUGGAGCAACGCCGCGUGUGUGAUGAAGGCUUUCGGGUCGUAAAGCACUGUUGUAUGGGAAGAACAGCUAGAAUAGGAAAUGAUUUUAGUUUGACGGUACCAUACCAGAAAGGGACGGCUAAAUACGUACCAG
This 164-nucleotide ribosomal RNA is filed under the name uncultured bacterium. RNAcentral's name for it is "partial 16S rRNA". It matches the Rfam family "Bacterial small subunit ribosomal RNA", at positions 355 to 511 of the family's 1533-position model. The record is from RNAcentral.